This is a long non-coding RNA of Theobroma cacao (cacao), 823 nucleotides long. RefSeq lists it as uncharacterized. NCBI's taxonomy places the organism in Eukaryota, Viridiplantae, Streptophyta, Magnoliopsida, Malvales, Malvaceae. The record is from RefSeq and is a predicted model, not a curated record.
UCAAAAUACCGAUUGAAGUCUUUAGCCAUGAAAUUGCUGCAGACUUAGUGCGGAACUCAGCAUACAACAGAUCAUAACACUGACACUGCAGAGUAUCAGAAACACCUGUGUCACCUAAAAUACAACACAAAUUACAGCUUCAAAAGCAAGCAAGGCAAUCACUUAGGAACACAACCCCCGGCAUUCCUAAACAUUGCAACACAGCAUUAUCCCCUCACGCAAGCUCGGAAAAAUCAUUCGCCAGAAGCCCUUGUACUCAUCGAACAUGACCAAACACUCAGAGCCUCACAGCAACCAUUCGAAACAGCUUACUAUCAGGCUCCAUGAGGAAAGACCACCAAGCUUCCAUAGGCUGCAAUGUGAGAACGGUGCCUUGCUUCUGGGAGAACUCCACUACACAGCUCCUUUGGAAAGAGCUGGAGGAUAUCAAACAUACCUGCUCAGCUCAGUUGGAACAGAGAGCAAAAACCAAAACGCCAGCAAGGGAACAAAGCAGUCUCGGUUGUAAGACAAACGUGCAGAUGCCAUCCACCACCAGGUUGGCUGAGCUAGAUUGGACAAAACCUCCAAAUUUUGAUAGAUAUGAAUGGGACUGUGGAAGUAAGCAGAGGUGGCUAUUGGGCAGGUUGCGAUGAGUUGGUUUUAUUUAGGAUUUUGGUCAUAUUAGGUUUUAGUUGAUUUCAAGUUUAGCUCUAUGUUUAUACGUUUCACAAAUUGAAUUUUCUUUCAUUUUGUUUUUGGUUAAGUGAAUAGUUUUAUUGAUUUGAUACAAGUUUGUUGAAAUUAGAAAACAGGGAUAUAACACAGUUUCUGUUCUCCAGUA